Long non-coding RNA from Etheostoma cragini (Arkansas darter), 427 nucleotides. RefSeq lists it as uncharacterized. The transcript is spliced from 4 exons. The record is from RefSeq and is a predicted model, not a curated record. NCBI's taxonomy places the organism in Eukaryota, Metazoa, Chordata, Actinopteri, Perciformes, Percidae.
AUGGUGGUGGUGGAGCAGGUCUGCUAGGAAGGAGCCUGAUUAUGGAGAGCUUUGUGGGUGAAGAGGAGGACUUUAAACUGGAUGUGUUGGGUAACAGGGAGCCAGUGGAUCUUCUGAAGGACGGGAGUGAUGUGAUCACUGAACGGGUGUGGGUGAGGAGACGGGCAGCCGAGUUUUGGAUUUAUUGAAGCUUAUUUAUGGCUUUUGCAGGUGAACCAUGGAGGAUUCUGUUGCAGUAGUCAAUUCUGGAAGUGAUGAAGGCAUGAAUCAAAUGUUUGGCAGCAAAGAGACGGGCAAUGUUUUUGAGGUGAAAGAAGGCAGUUCUGGUUAUUUUAUUGAUGUUGUUUUCAAAAGAGAGGUUGCUGUUGAAGAUGACUCCCAGGUUACGUGUGUGUGGGGAUGGGGACAGUAUGGGGUUGCUGACAGU